Ipomoea nil (Japanese morning glory) is the source of this 71-nucleotide transfer RNA. It matches the Rfam family "tRNA". From Rfam's summary of the family: Transfer RNA (tRNA) molecules are approximately 80 nucleotides in length. Their secondary structure includes four short double-helical elements and three loops (D, anti-codon, and T loops). The record is from Rfam. Lineage: Eukaryota; Viridiplantae; Streptophyta; Magnoliopsida; Solanales; Convolvulaceae.
GUGCAUUUAGUGUAGUGGUAUCAUAGUACCCUCCCACGGUACUGACCGGGGAUCAAUUCCCCGAAUGUGCA